RNAcentral lists this ribosomal RNA (553 nucleotides) under uncultured crenarchaeote. RNAcentral's name for it is "bacterial SSU rRNA". It matches the Rfam family "Archaeal small subunit ribosomal RNA", at positions 325 to 879 of the family's 1478-position model. Lineage: Archaea; Thermoproteati; Thermoproteota. The record is from RNAcentral.
AUGGGGUGCAGCAGGCGAGAAAACUUUGCAAUGUGCGAAAGCACGACAAGGUUAAUCCGAGUGGUUUCUGCUAAAGGAACCUUUUGACAGUCCUAAAAACACUGUUGAAUAAGGGGUGGGCAAGUUCUGGUGUCAGCCGCCGCGGUAAAACCAGCACCUCAAGUGGUCAGGAUGAUUAUUGGGCCUAAAGCAUCCGUAGCCGGCUCUGUAAGUUUUCGGUUAAAUCUGUACGCUCAACGUACAGGCUGCUGGGAAUACUGCAGAGCUAGGGAGUGGGAGAGGUAGACGGUACUCGGGAGGAAGUGGUAAAAUGCUUUGAUCUCUCGAUGACCACCUGUGGCGAAGGCGGUCUACCAGAACACGUCCGACGGUGAGGGAUGAAAGCUGGGGGAGCAAACCGGAUUAGAUACCCGGGUAGUCCCAGCUGUAAACUAUGCAAACUCAGUGAUGCGUUGGCUUAUGGCCGGCGCAGUGUUGCAGGGAAGCCGUUAAGUUUGCCGCCUGGGAAGUACGUACGCAAGUAUGAAACUUAAAGGAAUUGGCGGGGGAGCAC